Molecule: ribosomal RNA, 329 nt
Filed under: uncultured eukaryote
Lineage: Eukaryota
Description: partial 18S ribosomal RNA
Rfam family: Eukaryotic small subunit ribosomal RNA
Source: RNAcentral
CCCUUAGAUGUUCUGGGCCGCACGCGCGCUACACUGACGAUGGCAACGAGUUUUUCCUUCGCCGAAAGGUGUGGGUAAUCUUUUGAAACAUCGUCGUGCUGGGGAUAGAUCAUUGCAAUUUUUGAUCUUGAACGAGGAAUUCCUAGUAAGCGCGAGUCAUCAGCUCGCGUUGAUUACGUCCCUGCCCUUUGUACACACCGCUCGUCGCUACUACCGAUUGAAUGGUUUAGUGAGGACUCCUGAUUGGCGCCGCCGCCCCGGCAACGGAGCAGCGGACUGCCGAAAAGUUGUUCAAACUUGAUCAUUUAGAGGAAGUAAAAGUCGUAACA